This 407-nucleotide ribosomal RNA is filed under the name uncultured bacterium. Its description in RNAcentral is "partial 16S ribosomal RNA". It matches the Rfam family "Bacterial small subunit ribosomal RNA", at positions 28 to 526 of the family's 1533-position model. The record is from RNAcentral.
GACGAACGCUGGCGGCGUGCCUAAUACAUGCAAGUAGGACGCAGUUGCGAACGGGAGAGUAACGCGUAGGUAACUACCUAUUAGAGGGGGAUAACUAUUGGAAACGAUAGCUAAAACCGCAUACUAGUAGAUUGAACUGCGUUGUAUUAGCUAGUAGGAAGGUUAAUGGCCUACCUAGGCAACGAUACAUAGCCGGCCUGAGAGGGUGAUCGGCCACACUGGGACUGAGACACGGCCCAGACUCCUACGGGAGGCAGCAGGAGGGAAGCUUAGGCAAUGGGGGGAACCCUGACCGAGCAACGCCGCGGGAGUGAAGAAGGUCUUAGGAUGGUAAAGCUCUGUUGUUAAGGACGCGGUACUUAAACAGAAAGGGACGGCUAACUACGUGCCAGCAGCCGCGGUAAUAC